Molecule: ribosomal RNA, 1542 nt
Filed under: Salmonella enterica subsp. enterica serovar Typhimurium str. STm6
Lineage: Bacteria; Pseudomonadati; Pseudomonadota; Gammaproteobacteria; Enterobacterales; Enterobacteriaceae
Description: bacterial SSU rRNA
Rfam family: Bacterial small subunit ribosomal RNA
Source: RNAcentral
AAAUUGAAGAGUUUGAUCAUGGCUCAGAUUGAACGCUGGCGGCAGGCCUAACACAUGCAAGUCGAACGGUAACAGGAAGCAGCUUGCUGCUUUGCUGACGAGUGGCGGACGGGUGAGUAAUGUCUGGGAAACUGCCUGAUGGAGGGGGAUAACUACUGGAAACGGUGGCUAAUACCGCAUAACGUCGCAAGACCAAAGAGGGGGACCUUCGGGCCUCUUGCCAUCAGAUGUGCCCAGAUGGGAUUAGCUUGUUGGUGAGGUAACGGCUCACCAAGGCGACGAUCCCUAGCUGGUCUGAGAGGAUGACCAGCCACACUGGAACUGAGACACGGUCCAGACUCCUACGGGAGGCAGCAGUGGGGAAUAUUGCACAAUGGGCGCAAGCCUGAUGCAGCCAUGCCGCGUGUAUGAAGAAGGCCUUCGGGUUGUAAAGUACUUUCAGCGGGGAGGAAGGUGUUGCGGUUAAUAACCGCAGCAAUUGACGUUACCCGCAGAAGAAGCACCGGCUAACUCCGUGCCAGCAGCCGCGGUAAUACGGAGGGUGCAAGCGUUAAUCGGAAUUACUGGGCGUAAAGCGCACGCAGGCGGUCUGUCAAGUCGGAUGUGAAAUCCCCGGGCUCAACCUGGGAACUGCAUUCGAAACUGGCAGGCUUGAGUCUUGUAGAGGGGGGUAGAAUUCCAGGUGUAGCGGUGAAAUGCGUAGAGAUCUGGAGGAAUACCGGUGGCGAAGGCGGCCCCCUGGACAAAGACUGACGCUCAGGUGCGAAAGCGUGGGGAGCAAACAGGAUUAGAUACCCUGGUAGUCCACGCCGUAAACGAUGUCUACUUGGAGGUUGUGCCCUUGAGGCGUGGCUUCCGGAGCUAACGCGUUAAGUAGACCGCCUGGGGAGUACGGCCGCAAGGUUAAAACUCAAAUGAAUUGACGGGGGCCCGCACAAGCGGUGGAGCAUGUGGUUUAAUUCGAUGCAACGCGAAGAACCUUACCUGGUCUUGACAUCCACAGAAGAAUCCAGAGAUGGAUUUGUGCCUUCGGGAACUGUGAGACAGGUGCUGCAUGGCUGUCGUCAGCUCGUGUUGUGAAAUGUUGGGUUAAGUCCCGCAACGAGCGCAACCCUUAUCCUUUGUUGCCAGCGGUUAGGCCGGGAACUCAAAGGAGACUGCCAGUGAUAAACUGGAGGAAGGUGGGGAUGACGUCAAGUCAUCAUGGCCCUUACGACCAGGGCUACACACGUGCUACAAUGGCGCAUACAAAGAGAAGCGACCUCGCGAGAGCAAGCGGACCUCAUAAAGUGCGUCGUAGUCCGGAUUGGAGUCUGCAACUCGACUCCAUGAAGUCGGAAUCGCUAGUAAUCGUGGAUCAGAAUGCCACGGUGAAUACGUUCCCGGGCCUUGUACACACCGCCCGUCACACCAUGGGAGUGGGUUGCAAAAGAAGUAGGUAGCUUAACCUUCGGGAGGGCGCUUACCACUUUGUGAUUCAUGACUGGGGUGAAGUCGUAACAAGGUAACCGUAGGGGAACCUGCGGUUGGAUCACCUCCUUA